RNAcentral lists this ribosomal RNA (492 nucleotides) under uncultured bacterium. Its description in RNAcentral is "partial 16S ribosomal RNA". It matches the Rfam family "Bacterial small subunit ribosomal RNA", at positions 29 to 507 of the family's 1533-position model. The record is from RNAcentral.
AGUGAACGCUGGCGGUAGGCCUAACACAUGCAAGUCGAACGGCAGCACAGUAAGAGCUUGCUCUUACGGGUGGCGAGUGGCGGACGGGUGAGGAAUACAUCGGAAUCUACUUUUUCGUGGGGGAUAACGUAGGGAAACUUACGCUAAUACCGCAUACGACCUACGGGUGAAAGCAGGGGAUCUUCGGACCUUGCGCGAUUGAAUGAGCCGAUGUCGGAUUAGCUAGUUGGCGGGGUAAAGGCCCACCAAGGCGACGAUCCGUAGCUGGUCUGAGAGGAUGAUAAGCCCCACUGGAACUGAGGCACGGUCCAGACUCCUACGGGAGGCAGCAGUGGGGAAUAUUGGACAAUGGGCGCAAGCCUGAUCCAGCCAUACCGCGUGGGUGAAAAAGGCCUUCGGGUUGUAAAGCCCUUUUGUUGGGAAAGAAAAGCAGCAGGUUAAUACCCCGCUGUUCUGACGGUACCCAAAGAAUAAGCACCGGCUAACUUCGUG